Molecule: long non-coding RNA, 2525 nt
Filed under: Homo sapiens (human)
Lineage: Eukaryota; Metazoa; Chordata; Mammalia; Primates; Hominidae
Description: chromosome 8 putative open reading frame 17 (C8orf17)
Source: RNAcentral
CUCUUCCACAGAGGCUGGCACGCACCUUAAGGCAGGUGCCCACUGGAACCCUGUCUGUGGUGUCAAGGAUUUUACAGUUGACCUUGAAGACCACCUAGUCCAAAGCUCUCAUUGUACAAAAAGCCAAGCCCAGAGGUCACACAAAGCUUUGGACCUGAGCCUCUGGGCCCCGCGGUCUGGAAAGUGCUCCUUUCUCUGCAUGCUACGGGGCUAUCAACUUGAGCUGGUCCAGUCUGCAGAUCUACAUCCUGCCCGCCUGAGCAGAGGCGGGUGUGGGACCAGUGCGGAUCUCCACGAUUUGUCAGCCCAUCCUGAUAAGUCUGAGGCUCUGACCAUCAUAUCUCAUCACAGCAUCAUUAGGAUUACAAGUGCCAUGCGGUAGAAGAGGAAGGGAAACACGAACAAAAGGAUGAGAAAUUAAGCCCAUUUCACCCGGAAAAGAUGACUCUGAUUUAUUGCUCUAUAGCAGCUGACGAUGGCCUGUCAGAGAAAUUCUGUGUUGAAAAUAAAGAAUAAAAAUCACCCAGAGUUGUUUUGCCACACAUCCAAAUUAGAAAAUGCUACUCUCCGGAUGAUUUAUGCUUCAAUUUUUUCCCUUAUUCACAGAGAAUUUGUCCAGCAUUACAAGAGCACCUAAGAGCAAUAAUACAAUUCAAAAGGAGAUAGAAGAGGCCGCAGAGGUGUUGAUGUGCGGCUGAGGGCGGGGUGCUGGCCCAAAGGCAGGGCUUUGGUGCUCAGAAGCAUUGACCUUACAGGGAGGAACAAGGAGAAACCAGCCAGGCAGGCCCCGCAGGCAGCCCACAGAGCCACUUCGCCGUGCAGCCGAGGGAGUCCCGCACCACGGGGCCUCGCUCAGGGUAGCCACCAUGGGAGAAUGUCCCCACCUCGUGGAUGUCAGGCUUGGCCACAGGUCCUUGGCCACGGGACCUGAGCAGAGUGACAUAUGCCACACUGGAUCAGAAGCACGCUGGACCACCACGUGGUAUGGCUCCCUUUCUUUCUCCCGUCAUAAGUACAAGAUGUUGGCUGACCUGACUCCUGGGGUAGAAAUGUCAUGUAGACACUGGGCGCGGUGGCUCACGCCUGUAAUCCCAGCACUUUGGAAGGCCGAGGCAGGUGGAUUGCCUGAGCUCAGGAGUUCGAGACCAGCCUGGACAACAUGGUGAAACCCGUCUCUACUAAUUUACAAAAAAAAUUAGCCAGGUGUGUUGGCACAUGCCUGUAGUCCCAGCUACGUGGGAGGCUGAGGCACGAGAAUUGCCUGAACCCCAGAGGUGGAGGUUGCAGUGAGCCGAGAUGGUACCUCUGCACUGCAGCCUGGGCAACAGAAUGAGACUGUGUCUUCAAAAAAAAAAAGCACUGUCAUGCAGGGCAGGGUCCCAAGGCCCCAGCCAACCUCUCGUUGACAUGUAAUGUAAGAAGAUGUCAACUCAUGCUUAUAGUCACUGACAUUUAGGAAUAGUCUGUUACCACAGCAUAAGCUGGUAAAAAAAAAAAAAAAAAUCAUACAGCUCUUCUUCCCGGAACGCCCCUGCACCUCUGCUCCGGUGCACAAAUGCUUUCUCUUCAAGGCAUGGCGCAAAAAAGCCACUACUUCCAGAAGCAUCUCCUCAUUCCCCGCCGGGAGCAACAUCUCUCUUCUCGAGACCCCAGCCCCUCCGCUGUCUACCCAUGGACUUCCUCAGUGUUUGUUUUUUGCAUGAUUCUUUGUGACCAAGCUGUUUCUCCAGCUGCCUUGAGGACAUGCCCUAGGGAACAGUGCUCUGAAUCGUACCUGGAUUCUGUGCCUACCUGCUCCAUCUAAAGCAGAAAACUCCACAACUAAGAUCUCUUCUAACAUUUAAGGAAUAGAGCCUAAUUAGCGCAUGAAUACGUGUUGAACUGUGAAUGAAUCAAUGAGUAUGGAAACUACAUUAUACGCAGUGCUGAUAGAACCAAGUUGCCAAGGGAGAUAUCAUCUCUCCUGCAGGAAGGAAGUCCUGCCUCCCACUGAUCCACUCAGCGCACAGCCUUGAACAAAACAGAGCAAGAGUUAUAACCUUCAGAUGUGGGGGCAGAAUAGGACCCAUUUGGGCAGACACAGGCCACGGAAACCACAGGGCCAGCGUCUUGAGCCCUCGAUCAGACGCCUCCCGCCCACCGCGGCCGCUUCUCCACGCUUUUGCCCAGAUCUCUGCACCGCGUGGCCCGGUCUUGCCUCCCUGAGGACCACACUGGCUGCAACCCAAACUCGACUCUUCUACUUACACUUGCUCAGCAUUUUUGUCAUCCCUGCCCUUGGCCAAUCCCUGUCUUGGUUUCUGCUCUUCCCACACAAAGUUUUGGGAAUCAAUUCAUACAUAUUUGAGAUUAACCAAAGUCCAUGAUCAGUUCUGGACCGCUAUGGAUUCCAGAUCCACCUUACGUAGCCGUGUGAGCUCCGGUAAAUUACAUAACCCAUCAAAUUUCUUUAUCUAUAAAGCAGCAACAAUAAUGUCACGAAGGAUUAAGGUAAAGAUGAGAAAUAGUAUAGCAAAAGCAUCUAC